This 1178-nucleotide long non-coding RNA is filed under the name Cottoperca gobio. Its description in RNAcentral is "lncRNA (ENSCGOG00000022144.1)". Lineage: Eukaryota; Metazoa; Chordata; Actinopteri; Perciformes; Bovichtidae. The record is from RNAcentral.
GAACGAGAGUCGCAGGCAGCUGGAGGAGAGGAGGAAGCAGCAGGAGGAGGACAGGAAACACAAAGACAGCAACAAGAUCAGUGAGUACAACUGCCUGACCUCUGACCCCUGCAGGUACGCUGUCAUGUGACUGAAAGAAAGAUAUUUAAAACCUGUUCUAAGUAAUAUGUACAAGUCCUCUGAGGCUGUCAGCCAAUCAGAGCCCGCUGAACACAAAACAUCCUGACGACUAAAUGUUUCUGACAUAAAAAUAAAAAUGUCCUCCAGCCAGGAAGGACGUGUCCAGGAAGGAUGUGUCCAGCCAGGACGAAGGCUGUAUCAUCGACAAGCUGCUGACUGAGAUCAAGAAGGGAAACCACCUGAAGAGGACCAGAGCCCCCCGGGGCAGCAUAGUCCACGAGCAUCCUGCAGGAUCAGAGCUCAUACUGGCGUCCUUGGUCGUUUCCAGCCAAUCAGGGAAGCCUGCAGAACCACUAGAGGCAGUUCAGAUCCCUUCAGAUCCACCGGCUGAAACAAGACCAGAACCAGGCUCAGCUGAACCCUCCUCUUCUACUGCUGCUGCAGACACUGAGCGCGUCCAGAUCCGGACCAGACUCGAGGACUCCAAGGCGGACUCUGUGGACCUAGAGACCAGAGACAGAGGUUCUGCAGGAGAGGAGGAGGUCCAGCUCAGACCAGAGGAGUCCGCAGAACACAAAGAGUCUGAGUUUGAAGAAGCGAGAACAACCGAACACAACGAGGAUUCAGAUUCUGAUCCAGACGAACCAGCGGAGAAGUCCAGGACCAGUCCAGCAGGAGCAGAUGUCAAACAUAAAGCUCACAGAAGAUGUGUGUCGCACUGAGGUGAGUUCAUUACUGAUGGAGAGCCUGAGAGGCUGAACUCGGGGCACAACUACCUGUUGAUUUCUUCUUCUGUGGUUGAUCUGCAGGUGAACUGAGGAGGACUCGUCUGAUUGGCUGAUGAUGGGGACAGUUUACCUGAGCAAGGUGUGACGACGUUCAGGACGUUUUGUUUGAGUUGAUUUGUUGAUGAUUAUUAUGAUUAUAGUUACUAAAUGAAAUGUGUUGUACCUGUAGCAGUUAUUAAUGAUUAAUGGUUUUAGUCUUUGUGUCUAACGUUGCUCAGUUGUGAUGAUUCAAUUAAUCAGUUUAUUCAGAAAAUAAUUUGCGAAUCAAUA